Eublepharis macularius is the source of this 355-nucleotide long non-coding RNA. RefSeq lists it as uncharacterized. The record is from RefSeq and is a predicted model, not a curated record. Lineage: Eukaryota; Metazoa; Chordata; Lepidosauria; Squamata; Eublepharidae. The transcript is spliced from 3 exons.
CCUCAUGUGUAGUGAUGAAGUCCCAAGUUGUUGUCCCAGACAUAUUUCAGUCAGCAUGAGGCUCCUUUGUCUCUUUCUACUUGUCUUCCUGCUGUUCCAGCCGGCCUGUCUGGAUAAGUCAGGCACAGAACGAUGCAGGCGGCUGAAGGGCCUUUGCCGACAUACCCUCUGCCAUCCAGUGGAAGUCUACGUGGGCCGAUGCAACAACGGAAUGGGGAACUGCUGCGUCGAUGAUGCAGAAGACAUUCGGAAACGCAGCCACUAGAACCUCUGCUGCUCCUGGCAGUGUAGGAAGGCUAAGCAGUCCAAACAACGCUUGUCAUUUUGGACUUUGAGUGGUCCAGGAUGGGGGAAA